GAUGGGUUUUGGGAACUUGGUUGUGAGG
RNAcentral lists this non-coding RNA (28 nucleotides) under Homo sapiens (human). The record is from RNAcentral. Lineage: Eukaryota; Metazoa; Chordata; Mammalia; Primates; Hominidae.